Molecule: ribosomal RNA, 254 nt
Filed under: uncultured bacterium
Lineage: Bacteria
Description: partial 16S ribosomal RNA
Rfam family: Bacterial small subunit ribosomal RNA
Source: RNAcentral
UACGUAGGGGGCUAGCGUUGUCCGGAUUUAUUGGGCGUAAAGAGCUCGUAGGCGGCUUAGCAAGUCGGGUGUGAAAACUCCAGGCUCAACCUGGAGACGCCACUCGAGACUGCUAUGGCUAGAGUCCGGUAGGGGACCACGGAAUUCCUGGUGUAGCGGUGAAAUGCGCAGAUAUCAGGAAGAACACCCGUGGCGAAGGCGGUUCUCUGGAACGCAACUGACGCUGAGACGCGAAAGCGUGGGGAGCAAACAGG